Molecule: ribosomal RNA, 499 nt
Filed under: uncultured bacterium
Lineage: Bacteria
Description: partial 16S ribosomal RNA
Rfam family: Bacterial small subunit ribosomal RNA
Source: RNAcentral
AUUGAACGCUGGCGGAAUGCUUUACACAUGCAAGUCGAGCGGCAGCGCGGGGCAACCUGGCGGCGAGCGGCGAACGGGUGAGUAAUGCAUCGGAACAUGUCCAUGUCGUGGGGGAUAGCCCGGCGAAAGCCGGAUUAAUACCGCAUACGCCCGAGAGGGGAAAGUGGGGGACCGCAAGGCCUCACGCGAUUGGGUUGGCCGAUGUCCGAUUAGCUAGUUGGCGGGGUAAAGGCCCACCAAGGCGAUGAUCGGUAGCUGGUCUGAGAGGAUGAUCAGCCAAACUGGGACUGGGACACGGCCCAGACUCCUACGGGAGGCAGCAGUGGGGAAUUUUGGACAAUGGGGGCAACCCUGAUCCAGCCAUUCCGCGUGAGUGAAGAAGGCCUUCGGGUUGUAAAGCUCUUUUGUCCGGAACGAAACGGGUAGCGUGAAUAUCGCUGCCUACUGACGGUACCGGAAGAAUAAGCACCGGCUAACUACGUGCCAGCCGCCGCAGUAA